Molecule: ribosomal RNA, 301 nt
Filed under: uncultured bacterium
Lineage: Bacteria
Description: partial 16S ribosomal RNA
Rfam family: Bacterial small subunit ribosomal RNA
Source: RNAcentral
CAGCCGCCGCGGUAAUACGAAGGGGGCUAGCGUUGCUAGGAAUUACUGGGCGUAAAGGGCGCGUAGGCGGACAGUUCAGUCGGGGGUGAAAGCCCGGAGCUCAACCUCGGAAUUGCCCUCGAUACUGGCUGUCUUGAGUAUGAGAGAGGUGUGUGGAACUCCGAGUGUAGAGGUGAAAUUCGUAGAUAUUCGGAAGAACACCAGUGGCGAAGGCGACACACUGGCUCAUUACUGACGCUGAGGCGCGAAAGCGUGGGGAGCAAACAGGAUUAGAUACCCGGGUAGUCCCUGUCUCUUAUAC